Molecule: small nuclear RNA, 110 nt
Organism: Pipistrellus kuhlii (Kuhl's pipistrelle)
Lineage: Eukaryota; Metazoa; Chordata; Mammalia; Chiroptera; Vespertilionidae
Source: RefSeq, a predicted model, not a curated record
GUACUCAAAAAAAUGGCAGCACAUACGCUAAAACUGGACCGAUACAGAGAAGAUUAGCAUGGUCCCUACGCAAGGAUGACACGCAAAUUCGUGAAGCAUUUCAUAUUAAA